This 90-nucleotide transfer RNA is filed under the name Polaromonas sp. Its description in RNAcentral is "tRNA-Ser". It matches the Rfam family "tRNA". Rfam says of the family: Transfer RNA (tRNA) molecules are approximately 80 nucleotides in length. RNAcentral also lists the same sequence under 3 other names. The record is from RNAcentral. Lineage: Bacteria; Pseudomonadati; Pseudomonadota; Betaproteobacteria; Burkholderiales; Comamonadaceae.
GGAAGCGUGGCCGAGCGGUUGAAGGCACCGGUCUUGAAAACCGGCGACGGAGUGAUCUGUUCGUGAGUUCGAAUCUCACCGCUUCCGCCA